RNAcentral lists this ribosomal RNA (331 nucleotides) under uncultured eukaryote. RNAcentral's name for it is "partial 18S ribosomal RNA". It matches the Rfam family "Eukaryotic small subunit ribosomal RNA", at positions 1470 to 1796 of the family's 1831-position model. The record is from RNAcentral.
CCCUUGGAUGUUCUGGGCCGCACGCGCGCUACACUGACGAAGUCAGCGAGCAUGUCCUACGCCGACAGGUGCGGGGAAUCUUGUCAAACUUCGUCGUGAUGGGGAUUGAUUAUUGAAAUUCUUGAUCAUCAACGAGGAAUUCCUAGUAAGCGCAAGUCAGCAGCUUGCGUUGAUUACGUCCCUGCCCUUUGUACACACCGCCCGUCGCUACUACCGAUUGAAUGGUUUAGUGAGAUCUUCGGAUUGGCGCCACUGCGGCUCAGCAAUGGGCUCGGUGGAUGCCGAAAAGUUGAUCAAACUUGAUCAUUUAGAGGAAGUAAAAGUCGUAACA